Molecule: long non-coding RNA, 232 nt
Filed under: Manihot esculenta (cassava)
Lineage: Eukaryota; Viridiplantae; Streptophyta; Magnoliopsida; Malpighiales; Euphorbiaceae
Description: long non-coding RNA (MESC_LNC008445)
Source: RNAcentral
CCACAAGUAUCCCCUGCCUAUAUUUUUUCAGCAACUUGGAAGAAAACCCCAGUAGUAAAAGAACAUGCAGUUAGGUCCCCACAAGCCAUUGCUAGCAGCAACAAGAACAUAGCACUGCUGAUUUAAUUUGUCAACGUGCAGAGAUUAGGGUAUAGGAACCCUUCUUUUCACUGAACCAAACAAAAUUUCUUCCGGCAGACAGACAUGCAUCUACAUAUUCAAAGCUCUCAAC